This 465-nucleotide ribosomal RNA is filed under the name uncultured bacterium. RNAcentral describes it as "SSU rRNA". It matches the Rfam family "Bacterial small subunit ribosomal RNA", at positions 26 to 518 of the family's 1533-position model. The record is from RNAcentral.
AGGAUUAACGCUGGCGGCGUGCCUAACACAUGCAAGUCGAACGAGGUAGCAAUACCUAGUGGCAGACGGGUGAGUAACGCGUGGUCAACCUACCGUUGAGUGGGGGAUAACUAGCCGAAAGGUUAGCUAAUACCGCAUACGUGUCCGAGGGGCAUCCCUUGGCCAUAAAAGGAGCAAUCCGCUCGAUGACGGGACCGCGUCCCAUUAGCUAGAUGGUGGGGUAACGGCCUACCAUGGCACCGAUGGGUAGCUGGUUUGAGAGAGCGACCAGCCACACUGGGACUGAGAAACGGCCCAGACUCCUACGGGAGGCAGCAGUUAGGAAUUUUCGGCAAUGGGGGCAACCCUGACCGAGCAACGCCGCGUGCAGGAGGAAGGUCUUCGGAUCGUAAACUGCUUUUCUGUGGGAAGAGAACGGACGGUACCACAGGAAGAAGCCCCGGCUAACUACGUGCCAGCAGCCGC